GUAAGUUGCAGACACUUUGUUCUGAUAGGUUUAAAUUGCUGCCCUUCAAAGAGCAGGGUAGGGUUUUUACAGCAGCGGUGGGUUAUGGGAGUCUGAGGCCACAGACACGCUCUGCAGUGGUCGUUUCUGAGGGUGUGGGUUUGGUGGGUCCGCCCGGGCCGCUUCUUCCGUCGGUCUGCGGCGAGUCAGUCUGAAACAGUUCGCGUCUAUCCGGCGGCAUUGAGUCUUGGUCCUUCGCCGGAGUGUCAGGCUCAGGGGUCCCAGCCAGUGAGGGUGACAGUUUGGAUUGGCCUCGGGAGCGCAGCCUGGCCCGUCCCUGAAUCCCAGUAUUGGGUUCUGGGUGUCCCAAAAUCCCGCGUGAUGGUGAAGGCGCUGGGGCUCGGGUAGGACUGGCUCGGAAUUUCAUCUUGGCCGAUCUCCUCGGUGGAGAUGCACACCCUCGCUGAACCUCGCGGGUAGAGGGCCGUGGCGUGGGAUUGUUCACAUUCGUGCAGUAGAGUUUUUAGCCGUUAAUGAAGGGUCUCUGCCUCCGUUAUUCGGAGUCUUUCCCUGCAUCAGGGUCUUUGCCAACAAGUCAGCUGUUCACAUCAGGUGGCCAAAGUAUUGGAGCUUCAGCUUCACCAUCAGUCCUUCCAGAUUGACUGGUUGGAUCUCCUUGCAGUCCAAGGGACUUUGAAGAGUCUUCUCCAGCACCACAGUUCGAAAGCAUCACUUUUUCGGCACUCAGCCUUCUUUAUGGUGCAGUCCUAUUUGUGACGGCAAAGGGAACAGCACCCGACCCCACGUAUACCCGUGGAGGAUACCGGGAACCACGGUGUUGUCUCCUUAGGAUGGAGUAUUAGUAGUGUUCAAAAGAACAAGCUGGUGGAUACUGACAGGAGAACAUGCC
Molecule: long non-coding RNA, 889 nt
Organism: Bos taurus (domestic cattle)
Lineage: Eukaryota; Metazoa; Chordata; Mammalia; Artiodactyla; Bovidae
Source: Ensembl